CCUACGGGUGGCAGCAGUGGGGAAUAUUGCGCAAUGGGCGAAAGCCUGACGCAGCGACGCCGCGUGAGGGAUGAAGGUCUUCGGAUCGUAAACCUCUGUCAGCAGGGAAGAACGGUCACUGUGCUAAUCAGCAGUGAAUUGACGGUACCGGCAAAGGAAGCACCGGCUAACUCCGUGCCAGAAGACGCGGUAAUACGGAGGGUGGGAGCGUUACUCGGAAUGACUGGGCGGAACGCGCUCGUAGGCGGUAGGUCAAGUCAAGGGUGAAAUCCCCGCGCUCAACGUGGGAACUGCCUUUGAAACCGGCAAACUGGAGUGUGUGAGAGGUUAGUGGAAUUCCAGGUGU
This 346-nucleotide ribosomal RNA is filed under the name uncultured bacterium. Its description in RNAcentral is "partial 16S ribosomal RNA". It matches the Rfam family "Bacterial small subunit ribosomal RNA", at positions 338 to 676 of the family's 1533-position model. The record is from RNAcentral.